Molecule: ribosomal RNA, 472 nt
Filed under: uncultured bacterium
Lineage: Bacteria
Description: bacterial SSU rRNA
Rfam family: Bacterial small subunit ribosomal RNA
Source: RNAcentral
AGAGUUUGAUCAUGGCUCAGAACGAACGCUGGCGGCAUGCCUAACACAUGCAAGUCGAACGCUCUCGCAAGAGAGAGUGGCGCACGGGUGCGUAACACGUGGGAAUCUGCCCUUUGGUACGGAAUAACUCAGGGAAACUUGAGCUAAUGCCGUAUGACGCCGCAAGGCCAAAGAUUUAUCGCCAGAGGAUGAGCCCGCGUAGGAUUAGCUAGUUGGUGGGGUAAUGGCCUACCAAGGCGACGAUCCUUAGCUGGUCUGAGAGGAUGAUCAGCCACACUGGGACUGAGACACGGCCCAGACUCCUACGGGAGGCAGCAGUGGGGAAUAUUGGACAAUGGGCGAAAGCCUGAUCCAGCAAUGCCGCGUGAGUGAAGAAGGCCUUCGGGUUGUAAAGCUCUUUUACCCGGGACGAUAAUGACGGUACCGGGAGAAUAAGCCCCGGCUAACUCCGUGCCAGCCGCCGCGGUAAUAC